GACGAACGCUGGCGGCGUGCUUAACACAUGCAAGUCGAACGAUGAACUCCAGCUUGCUGGGGGGAUUAGUGGCGAACGGGUGAGUAACACGUGAGUAACCUGCCCUUGACUCUGGGAUAAGCGCUGGAAACGGCGUCUAAUACCGGAUAUGACCUUCAGCCGCAUGGCUUGUUGGUGGAAAGAAUUUCGGUCAAGGAUGGACUCGCGGCCUAUCAGGUAGUUGGUGAGGUAAUGGCUCACCAAGCCUACGACGGGUAGCCGGCCUGAGAGGGUGACCGGCCACACUGGGACUGAGACACGGCCCAGACUCCUACGGGAGGCAGCAGUGGGGAAUAUUGCACAAUGGGCGCAAGCCUGAUGCAGCAACGCCGCGUGAGGGAUGACGGCCUUCGGGUUGUAAACCUCUUUUAGUAGGGAAGAAGCGAAAGUGACGGUACCUGCAGAAAAAGCACCGGCUAACUACGUGCCAGCAGCCGCGGUAAUACGUAGGGUGCAAGCGUUGUCCGGAAUUAUUGGGCGUAAAGAGCUCGUAGGCGGUUUGUCGCGUCUGCUGUGAAAUCUGGGGGCUCAACCCCCAGCCUGCAGUGGGUACGGGCAGACUAGAGUGCGGUAGGGGAGAUUGGAAUUCCUGGUGUAGCGGUGGAAUGCGCAGAUAUCAGGAGGAACGCCGAUGGCGAAGGCAGAUCUCUGGGCCGUUACUGACGCUGAGGAGCGAAAGCGUGGGGAGCGAACAGGAUUAGAUACCCUGGUAGUCCACGCCGUAAACGUUGGGAACUAGAUGUGGGGGCCAUUCCACGGUCUCCGUGUCGCAGCUAACGCAUUAAGUUCCCCGCCUGGGGAGUACGGCCGCAAGGCUAAAACUCAAAGGAAUUGACGGGGGCCCGCACAAGCGGCGGAGCAUGCGGAUUAAUUCGAUGCAACGCGAAGAACCUUACCAAGGCUUGACAUAUACCGGAAACAUCCAGAGAUGGUCGCCCCGCAAGGUCGGUAUACAGGCGGUGCAUGGUUGUCGUCAGCUCGUGUCGUGAGAUGUUGGGUUAAGUCCCGCAACGAGCGCAACCCUCGUUCUAUGUUGCCAGCACGUUAUGGUGGGAACUCAUAGGAGACUGCCGGGGUCAACUCGGAGGAAGGUGGGGAUGACGUCAAAUCAUCAUGCCCCUUAUGUCUUGGGCUUCACGCAUGCUACAAUGGCCGGUACAAAGGGCUGCGAUACCGUAAGGUGGAGCGAAUCCCAAAAAGCCGGUCUCAGUUCGGAUUGAGGUCUGCAACUCGACCUCAUGAAGUCGGAGUCGCUAGUAAUCGCAGAUCAGCAACGCUGCGGUGAAUACGUUCCCGGGCCU
Molecule: ribosomal RNA, 1340 nt
Filed under: uncultured bacterium
Lineage: Bacteria
Description: bacterial SSU rRNA
Rfam family: Bacterial small subunit ribosomal RNA
Source: RNAcentral